UGAACGCAGCGACAGGCUAACACAUGCAAGUCGAGGGGCAUCACGGGAGUAGCAAUACAACUGGUGGCGACCGGCGCACGGGUGAGUAACGCGUAUGCAACCUACCUAUCAGGAGGGGAAUAACCCGGCGAAAGUCGGACUAAUACCGCAUAAAACAGGGGCACCGCAUGGUGAUAUUUGUUAAAGAAAUUCGCUGAUAGAUGGGCAUGCGUUCCAUUAGGUAGUUGGUGAGGUAACGGCUCACCAAGCCGACGAUGGAUAGGGGAACUGAGAGGUUGGUCCCCCACACUGGUACUGAGACACGGACCAGACUCCUACGGGAGGCAGCAGUGAGGAAUAUUGGUCAAUGGGCGGGAGCCUGAACCAGCCAAGUCGCGUGAAAGGAAGAAGGAUCUAUGGUUCGUAAACUUCUUUUGCAGGGGAAUAAAGUGCAGGACGUGUCCUGUUUUGUAUGUACCCUGAGAAUAAGGAUCGGCUAACUCCGUGCCAGCAGCCGC
RNAcentral lists this ribosomal RNA (497 nucleotides) under uncultured bacterium. Its description in RNAcentral is "bacterial SSU rRNA". It matches the Rfam family "Bacterial small subunit ribosomal RNA", at positions 30 to 518 of the family's 1533-position model. The record is from RNAcentral.